RNA transcript from Eublepharis macularius, 2986 nucleotides. It is a transcript of the gene named actin binding LIM protein family member 2, with no coding region annotated. The transcript is spliced from 21 exons. Lineage: Eukaryota; Metazoa; Chordata; Lepidosauria; Squamata; Eublepharidae. The record is from RefSeq and is a predicted model, not a curated record.
GCCAGCCAGCCAGCCAGCCGCAGAGCCGCCGGGGGAUGGUUGCGCGCCCGCCGGCCAGGCUGCGGGCAGGAGCCGCGCAAGAUGAGCGCCGCCGAGGCAGCUUCUCAACCUCAGGCUGUGCAUAGUCACUUGGAAAAGUUAUCUGGCUCUGCAAUCCUCUGCAAUACUUGUGGAAAAACUUGCAAAGGAGAGGUGCUGAGAGUACAGAAGAAGUAUUUCCAUAUUAAGUGUUUUGUUUGCAAAGCAUGCGGCUGUGAUUUGGCCCAAGGAGGAUUUUUCGUGCGGCAGGGAGACUAUAUCUGCACUCUGGAUUACCAGCGGCUCUAUGGAACGCGCUGCUUCAGCUGUGACCAGUUCAUUGAAGGAGAGGUGGUUUCAGCCCUGGGGAAAACCUACCACCCGCAUUGUUUUGUGUGUGUGGUUUGCAGGCAGCGUUUUCCUCCUGGAGACCGUGUAACUUUCAAUGGCAAAGACUGUCUCUGCCAGAAAUGUUCUCUGCUACCUGCUGGGAAUAUCAACAGGAGUUUUCCAGUCCAGGCCCCCCAAACUUGUGGUGGCUGUGGCUCUGAAAUAAAGAAUGGACAGUCCUUGGUGGCCUUGGACAAGCACUGGCACCUGACCUGCUUUAAAUGCAAGAUGUGUGGCAAAGUCCUGAAUGCUGAAUACAUCAGCAAAGAUGGUGUUCCGUACUGUGAAAUGGAUUAUCAUGUUAAAUUUGGAAUAAGAUGUGACAAUUGUGAGAAAUACAUCAUGGGAAGAGUUCUGGAGGCAGGAGAAAAACACUAUCACCCAACUUGUGCCCGAUGUAUCAAGUGCCAUCAGAUGUUCGCAGAAGGCGAAGAAAUGUAUCUUCAAGGGACUUCAAUUUGGCAUCCGGCUUGUCGACAGGCAGCCAAAGUGGAGGAAAAGACCAAAUUGCAAGAAACCAGGACAUCCUCUGAGAGCAUCAUAUCAGUACCUGCUUCAAGUACAUCAGGGUCCCCGAGCAGAGUGAUAUAUGCAAAGCUUGGUGAUGAAAUCAUUGACUACAGGGAUUUGGCUGCCCUUCCUAAGGACAAAGCCAUCUAUAACAUCGACCGUCCAGAUAUGAUCUCCUAUUCUCCCUAUAUCAGCUAUUCAUCAGAUUACAGGCGCAGUUAUGAGGAGGGGGACCAAGAUGACCGAUCCUACAAACAGUACAGGACAUCGAGCCCCAGCUCCACGGGAUCGCUCGGCUACAGCUGCAACACGCCCCCGUGCCUCUCUCCUCAGAGUUACAGCAGACCAGCUGGUACUCAGAGUCCUGGUACCAGUAGCUGCCUCUCCCUCCCCCAACACACAAGCCUCACAUCUGCAUUCAGGCACCAUUACAUCCCCUUCUUCAAAGGCAGUGAAAGUGGCCGGAGUACUCCAAGCUUAUCCAUAUACUCAGACAGCAAAUCUUCCUCAUCUCUCUAUCCGCAGGCUCCUAGACAUUUUCAUGUUCCAGACACUGGAGCAAAAGAUAACAUCUAUAGGAAGCCCCCUAUCUACAAACAGCAUGCCUUGAGGAAAUCUGAUGGUGGUAGCGGGAAUUCUGAUCAGGACAGCAUGAAGAUAAAGUCUAGUUGGUUGGCUAUGAAAGGAGACAUCGAUGCUAGAACCAACUCACCUGGUCUGGAUACGCAGUCGCUCCCACAAAGUCCUGGGACUGAUCGAGAGCUUCAGCGAUUGCAACACAACGACAGCAGCACUUACCCACGAUUUCCAUAUUCCAAAUCUGCCUCUCUUCCUGACUAUGGCAAGAAUGGGUUACACCACGAUGCAAACAUGACCCAAUAUGAAAUGGACCAGGAUUCUAAUUGGGGAAAGAGAGAAUACAAGGUAAGGAACACUGCCAACCAUUCUGGGAGGAUGUUGAAAAUCAGCCCUUCCUAGCAAGGUCUAUUCCUAUGAAACACUUAUUGUAACAAACAGAGUUCGUGUAAAACUACCAAAGGAUGUGGACCGAACCAAGUUGGAACGGCACCUGUCCCCUGAAGAGUUCCAGGAAGUCUUCAAAAUGAGCAUUGAACAGUUUGAGCGGCUUGCACUUUGGAAACGGAAUGAGCUAAAGAAAAAGGCGCUGCUUUUCUAGCUUCCUACAGGAAAAAAUAUGCUUAGUGAAAACAAAAUACAUUUGCCAACGUAUCAUAUGCACUGGCUGUAGUCCAUUUGUCCAGAUUCAUUGUUUUAGCAAGGGAGACCACAGGAAAGAAACUGGCCCUGAGGGUAGCUUGGUGUGGCCCAGAAGGCAUUUUAUCUCCAUGACUUCUGGGCCCAAAAUGAACACACAGAGCCUUGUUUUAAAUUAAUUCUUGUUUUAAUUGUUUCUUGUGGCAAACCAAUAACUGCAAGUCGAAAAGAAUUAAUGUUUUUACAACUAGAAAACACUACCACCAUUUUGUUUCUCUAGUGUACACAACACAGAUAGAAAGAAAAUUCUUCCUGCAGAAGAAAAUGUGCUACUAUGAAGCAAAUGGGAUAAAGCCAAAGAAAACCACGUCAGACAGUCACUCUUGCAAAUAGUUGUGAGACAGAUUUUAAGAGUUAAACACUAUCUAAAGCACCUUAAGUCUCAUUCUCUCAUGUAUAUACAAACUACUGUUUCAGAUAGGAACUAGCAAGUGGAAAAAGAGCUAUCAAAAGUUUUAUUUUUGUAAAAAUUAGAGUGUAAUGUACUGUGUUGAGAAUACCAUACAUAUAAGCAGUUCAUCCUACAACCCAGGUUAGAUGAAGUACUUGAUUUAUAAUGCUUGAACUUAGUAAGACAAAAUUCCCUUAAAUAUCAGUACUUCAUGAUUCACUAGACUGUAGACCAUGCAGAAGUUCAAUUCACAAAAAUACUAAAUUUUUGUGUGGAAAAUGUGCAAUGCUGAUUGUGUAUGUCUUUCUUCUACAUUUCAUGCUGGUACAAGACAGAUGUAAUUAAUCUUGAUUCUAUACACUCACUAAUGUCUGCAUUAAAAAUAUGGGUUUGUAAAUGUUA